RNAcentral lists this ribosomal RNA (497 nucleotides) under uncultured bacterium. Its description in RNAcentral is "partial 16S ribosomal RNA". It matches the Rfam family "Bacterial small subunit ribosomal RNA", at positions 28 to 507 of the family's 1533-position model. The record is from RNAcentral.
GAUGAACGCUGGCAGCGUGCCUAAUACAUGCAAGUCGAGCGAACAGACGAGGAGCUUGCUCCUCUGACGUUAGCGGCGGACGGGUGAGUAACACGUGGAUAACCUACCUAUAAGACUGGGAUAACUUCGGGAAACCGGAGCUAAUACCGGAUAAUAUAUUGAACCGCAUGGUUCAAUAGUGAAAGACGGUUUUGCUGUCACUUAUAGAUGGAUCCGCGCCGCAUUAGCUAGUUGGUAAGGUAACGGCUUACCAAGGCAACGAUGCGUAGCCGACCUGAGAGGGUGAUCGGCCACACUGGAACUGAGACACGGUCCAGACUCCUACGGGAGGCAGCAGUAGGGAAUCUUCCGCAAUGGGCGAAAGCCUGACGGAGCAACGCCGCGUGAGUGAUGAAGGUCUUCGGAUCGUAAAACUCUGUUAUUAGGGAAGAACAAAUGUGUAAGUAACUAUGCACGUCUUGACGGUACCUAAUCAGAAAGCCACGGCUAACUAUGUG